Molecule: small nucleolar RNA, 134 nt
Organism: Pseudophryne corroboree (corroboree frog)
Lineage: Eukaryota; Metazoa; Chordata; Amphibia; Anura; Myobatrachidae
Product: small nucleolar RNA SNORA70
Exons: 1
Source: RefSeq, a predicted model, not a curated record
UUGCAGUCAAUUAAGCCGACCACCUUCUGCCGUAAUCAGAGCGUGGUGUGCAAUGUCUGCAUACAGAGACUUCCCUGGCUGUGUAUGUGCUCUGCCCUCCAUGCAGAGUGCUCGAAGGGGCCUCGGAGACAAUG